UCCAGACAAUCUAAACUGUUGGGUCGCCGU
This 30-nucleotide non-coding RNA is filed under the name Mus musculus (house mouse). Lineage: Eukaryota; Metazoa; Chordata; Mammalia; Rodentia; Muridae. The record is from RNAcentral.